Molecule: small nucleolar RNA, 74 nt
Organism: Equus asinus (donkey)
Lineage: Eukaryota; Metazoa; Chordata; Mammalia; Perissodactyla; Equidae
Source: Ensembl
UGGACCAGUGGUGAUGGCCGGUGCAUGUGAGUCAUACACAGUGAGUAGUGCAUGUCUGAAACUCAGAAGUCCAA